AAGUCGUAACAAGGUUUCCGUAGGUGAACCUGCGGAAGGAUCAUUACCGAGUGCGGGCCCUCGCGGCCCAACCUCCCACCCUUGUCUCUAUACACCUGUUGCUUUGGCGGGCCCACCGGGGCCACCUGGUCGCCGGGGGACGUACGUCCCCGGGCCCGCGCCCGCCGAAGCGCGCUGUGUGAACCCUGAUGAAGAUGGGCUGUCUGAGUACUAUGAAAAUUGUCAAAACUUUCAACAAUGGAUCUCUUGGUUCCG
Molecule: unclassified non-coding RNA, 255 nt
Filed under: Talaromyces veerkampii
Lineage: Eukaryota; Fungi; Ascomycota; Eurotiomycetes; Eurotiales; Trichocomaceae
Description: partial internal transcribed spacer region
Rfam family: Eukaryotic small subunit ribosomal RNA (bases 1-46)
Source: RNAcentral